GGUUGAUCCUGCCAGUAGUCAUAUGCUUGUCUCAAAGAUUAAGCCAUGCAUGUCUAAGUAUAAGCUUUUAUACGGCGAGACUGCGGAUGGCUCAUUAAAUCAGUUAUAGUUUAUUUGAUGGUUCCUUUUUAUUUUACUACUUGGAUAACCGUAGUAAUUCUAGAGCUAAUACAUGCAUAAAGUCCUGACUGGGGGUUUCUAACGAGCUCCUGGAAGGGAUGUAUUUAUUAGAUAAAAAACCGAUGCAGGGUGGCUUGCUGCCCUGGACCCAACGGUGAUUCAUAAUAACUCU
RNAcentral lists this ribosomal RNA (292 nucleotides) under uncultured eukaryote. RNAcentral describes it as "partial 18S ribosomal RNA". It matches the Rfam family "Eukaryotic small subunit ribosomal RNA", at positions 6 to 263 of the family's 1831-position model. The record is from RNAcentral.